GGCGGAAUAGCUCAGUAGGCUAGAGCGUUUGUACUUCAGGACUCUGGCAGGACUCCAGAGGUCACUGGUUCGAAACCUGCUCCGGGCA
Molecule: transfer RNA, 88 nt
Filed under: Dreissena polymorpha
Lineage: Eukaryota; Metazoa; Mollusca; Bivalvia; Myida; Dreissenidae
Description: tRNA-Sec
Source: RNAcentral